Long non-coding RNA from Triticum aestivum (bread wheat), 2066 nucleotides. RefSeq lists it as uncharacterized. NCBI's taxonomy places the organism in Eukaryota, Viridiplantae, Streptophyta, Magnoliopsida, Poales, Poaceae. The record is from RefSeq and is a predicted model, not a curated record. The transcript is spliced from 3 exons.
GCAGCCCACGACGUCAUUUGGUAGCACACCGUCAAGAGGGACCCCUGCCCUUUCCAUGUCCCUUCCCCGGGAGCGAUUCCCUGAUCUCAUCAAGUCGGGCAGGAAAUCCUCGAGAAGCGACGACGCCGACUCAAUCCUCCCGAGCUUGUGCCUCCGUUGGCCACCCGCGCCUCUAGCCAAGAGCUUCUCCCCCCGCCGACGACGUCACCCGCUCUCUCCUGCCAAGAUCCUCUGCCCGGUGAUGGCGAUGGCCCAGAGGUCAGUUUCUACUUCCGGCGAGAUCGACUACCCCUCGCGGCUCAUAUCUCCUCAGACGAACAGCAAUGGGCUAGCGGUCACCUUCCCCGUCCUCCGAGCCAGCUAAUCAGACUUGGACCUCUCCCACCAUUGUCAAAUUAAUGGUGAGCACAAUCUCUUCCUUUCGCUUCUCCCCCCUAGAUCUGCACAGUGUUUUGAUUGGUCAAUUGGCUCUUGUGAUUGAUUGUGAGGUCUGAUGCUAUAUUUUGGAUAUUUCAAGGACCAUUUUUCUUGUUUGGACUCUUGUUACUACAGAGCAAAGCAUUGCCUAAUGUGUGGCAGUUUGUCUAUUGAAGUUAGAUUAUUGGCUGCAUACAUUAGAAUUUAGGUGCAAUUCUGAAGAAUGUGGCAAAUGCAGUGGAUUUUCUGCAUUAAAUUACUGGUGAGUCUUGUGAACUUUGGUUUAGGCAAGUUAAUUGCUUUUGUGUAGACAGGCAAAUACUGAACGUUUUUCUUUGUUAGAUCCUUAUGGCAGUACAUACUACAAUUGUUUAUUUUUAUGCUUUUUUCGUAGUUAUAAAUUUUCUAUUUUUAGUUUUGGUAUCCUCUGCAAUUAAAUUCACCAUGGCAUACUUUUUAGACAGCAUGUGCAGUUACAUGCCAUUACGCAUCAUACACUUUGCAUAGCUCAACACUCUUCUUGUAUCUAUGGAUAUCCUGAUCUAUUGAUGUCAAGUUUGUUUCACACAUGACAAAGGACACAACACCAAAUAAAUCAAGAAAUAUUCAUCAAUACCACUGACUCAUGUCUUAGACUUUAUUUGUUCAAGGAGGAAAUUUCUGCGAUGGAGAGAACAUAAGGUGUGUAGACAGUUCGUCUUAUAUUUUCUUGUUCUGCACUACAUCCAUCUUAUCUUUAUUUAUUUUGCGCCAUUAUUGACCUGAGUUUUAUCUGAACCUGAGUUAUAUCCAUCUGACUGUUUGUAGAUCCACGAACCUUUGUUUCCAAACUCUGCCUAUUCUUUCAUUUGCAAUAACAUGAGUUAUUCUGAAUUGAUCAUUUGAUGUUACCCUAGCAGUGCCUCCAUAGAAAAUUAAAUCUAGUUGAUGUUAUCCUUUGAUCAACUUCUGCAAACAUAAGGAGCUAGUUGGUCUCGCUCCAAUAAUACAUGGAUUACCAUUUGGUCUAUGUGUUUAGAUGAGGGUCACUAUAUACAUCUGCAGAUUAGCAUUUAUCAUUCAGAUUUUCAAUUUACAUUUGCAAGGUAUGUGAUUUGAUUUAUCUGGAGGUAAGUUGUGCUUUCUGUCGGUUGCAAUUACUAUAUGCUCCAAGCUGUGGCAACAAUACUUCAGAAUUAUUUUUCUAAUCAUUCCGCCAGAGUAGUAUUUUAUUAUUAUAUGAUUGCAGGAGUUGUAUAUGGAUGUACUGGGGGCACCAAGAAGAAAGGGUAGUAUAUGGAUGUACUAGGGCCCCCCAAAAGAAGAAAAACUGGGGGCACGAUAAAUUUAUCCUAGACACUAUGAGGUUUUCUGGGACUCGACUCGUGUAACUGUUGAGGGGGGCUACACUUCUGAGACGAGGCUACAACACAAUUUUUGUUGGAGUCGGCUACAUUCUUACACCUCUAGCUCACGAAGGUCGUAGUCCCAAUUUGGAUCGCCACUCAGCACGAGUGGAGUGACACUUGAUUUCUUGUUCUGUAUUAGAGUACCUAAGAAAUGUUGCCUCUUUAUGUUAUGUGACAUCUUUAGUUCUGACUAUAUUCUCAUGAGUGUCCGAAGAUGAUAGUGUAAAUGAAUGAUUAUUUAUACAUUUGCAAAUUCCUUGA